Molecule: ribosomal RNA, 496 nt
Filed under: uncultured bacterium
Lineage: Bacteria
Description: partial 16S ribosomal RNA
Rfam family: Bacterial small subunit ribosomal RNA
Source: RNAcentral
GAUGAACGCUGGCGGCGUGCCUAAUACAUGCAAGUCGAGCGAACAGACGAGGAGCUUGCUCCUCUGACGUUAGCGGCGGACGGGUGAGUAACACGUGGAUAACCUACCUAUAAGACUGGGAUAACUUCGUGAAACCGGAGCUAAUACCGGAUAAUAUAUUGAACCGCAUGGUUCAAUAGUGAAAGACGGUUUUGCUGUCACUUAUAGAUGGAUCCGCGCCGCAUUAUCUAGUUGGUAAGGUAACGGCUUACCAAGGCAACGAUGCUUAGCCGACCUGAUAGGGUGAUCGGCCACCCUGGAACUGAGAAACGGUCCAGACUCCUACGGGAGGCAGCAGUAGGAAAUCUUCCGCAAUGGGCGAACGCCUGACGGAGCAACGCCGCGUGAGUGAUGAAGGUCUUCGGAUCGUAAAACUCUGUUAUUAGGGAAAAAAAAAUGUGUAAGUAACUAUGCACGUCUUGACGGUACCUAAGCAGAAAGCCACGCCUAACUACGU